CAGGAUAAACUCAAAGAACUAAUCAUGAAUCCACCUCACAUGUCUUCUUCAUUUUAUCUAUUUUAUUCUCUCUCUCUCUCUUUUGUCUCCAGUUCUCAGAUGAGCAUGGCCUAUAUCUCCCUUCCUACUCUCAAAAAAAAUUUUUGGCUGGAGGGGAAGAUCUGUAAGGAUUAGGGCAUGGAAUUAAUGGCUGAAGGAUCUGUUACUGUCACUGUGAGGAACUCUUCCUCUAGAUCAAAACCCUAGGGUUUUCUUCCAGCAGACCAAAUAGAAACCUCCAACAAAGUACUAAUAACUAUGCUUCUGGCCAAGAGGUUUGUUUCUGAUAUAUAGAUCUACACAGCAAAUAUUGUGAUCUUUAGGUAUGUUCUUCACCCUUUUGGUAAAAACUGUUCCUCUCACCUUUCUUUCCUACAAUCUAGGGUUUUGAUCAACAAGUACAUGAUGAAAGUAAUCUUUUUGUGUUGAAUAUUUAUGAUCCUGGUGGAUCUCCAAUUUCCCUAUAGAAUAAAUAUAUAUGUUAUCUUUAUCUAA
Molecule: long non-coding RNA, 534 nt
Organism: Zingiber officinale
Lineage: Eukaryota; Viridiplantae; Streptophyta; Magnoliopsida; Zingiberales; Zingiberaceae
Exons: 2
Source: RefSeq, a predicted model, not a curated record